This 419-nucleotide ribosomal RNA is filed under the name Adenopterus (Archenopterus) sp. NC sp2. Its description in RNAcentral is "eukaryotic LSU rRNA". It matches the Rfam family "Eukaryotic large subunit ribosomal RNA", at positions 1492 to 1879 of the family's 3401-position model. The record is from RNAcentral. Lineage: Eukaryota; Metazoa; Arthropoda; Insecta; Orthoptera; Gryllidae.
UGAUGCGGAGAAGGGUUUCGUGUGAACAGCCGUUGCACACGAGUCAGUCGAGCCUAAGCCCUAGGAGAAAUCCGAUGCAUGGCGCCUGCGGCCCGUCGGGCGAAAGGGAAUCCGGUUCCCAUUCCGGAACCCGGCCGCGGAACCGUCUCACGUCGGGCCCCCCGGCCGGAAGCUCGUCGGGGUAACCCAAAAAGACCCGGAGAAGCCGUCGGGAGGUCUGGGAAGAGUUUUCUUUUCUGUUUGAGCGCUCGGGUUCCCUGGAACUGUCUAGCACAGAGAGAGGGAAUGGGGCGCGUAGAGCACCGCAGUUGCGGCGGUGUCCAGACAUGCCCCUCGGACCUUGAAAAUCCGGGGACGGGCCACGUGGAGGUUCGCGCCGGAUCGUACCCAUAUCCGCAGCAGGUCUCCGAGGUGAAGAG